Acanthosepion pharaonis is the source of this 109-nucleotide non-coding RNA. The record is from the annotation of a GenBank genome assembly. NCBI's taxonomy places the organism in Eukaryota, Metazoa, Mollusca, Cephalopoda, Sepiida, Sepiidae.
UUACGACCAUAUCACGUUGAAACAUCAUUUCCCAUACGAUCACCGAAGAUAAGCAACGUCAAGUCUGGUCAGUAUCUAGAUGGGUAACCGCUUGGGAAUACCAGGUGUU